This is a small nuclear RNA of Prosopis cineraria, 161 nucleotides long. RefSeq annotates it as U1 spliceosomal RNA. The record is from RefSeq and is a predicted model, not a curated record. The transcript has a single exon. Lineage: Eukaryota; Viridiplantae; Streptophyta; Magnoliopsida; Fabales; Fabaceae.
AUACUUACCUGGACGGGGUCAAUGGGUGAUCUGGAAGGCCCAUGGCCUAGGACAGUAACCUCCAUUGCACGCUGGAGGGGUGCUGUACUAAGGUCUGUCCAAGUGGCAGAGCCUACGUCAUAAUUUGUGGUAGCUGGGGCCUGCGUUCGCGCGGCCCCUCC